UACGGAGGGUGCAAACGUUGCUCGGAAUCAUUGGGCGUAAAGCGCACGUAGGCGGCUCGUUAAGUCGGGUGUGAAAGCCCUCGGCUCAACCGAGGAAGUGCAUUCGAAACUGGCGAGCUUGAAUAUGGAAGAGGGUCGCGGAAUUCCCGGUGUAGAGGUGAAAUUCGUAGAUAUUCGGAAGAACACCAGUGGCGAAGGCGGCUCACUGGCCCG
RNAcentral lists this ribosomal RNA (213 nucleotides) under uncultured bacterium. Its description in RNAcentral is "partial 16S ribosomal RNA". It matches the Rfam family "Bacterial small subunit ribosomal RNA", at positions 524 to 736 of the family's 1533-position model. The record is from RNAcentral.